AUUUCCUGCUCGGAAAAAAUUUGACACCUCGGUCGGAGUCUCUAAUGAUUUAUAACAAAGAAUCAAAAGAAACGGUGAACAAUAGGCUGUGCAGAGAGUGAGCUGCAAUCCAGCACUGAGGCUGCUCUCUGAUAUUGUGCAAACAUGUAC
Molecule: non-coding RNA, 150 nt
Organism: Caenorhabditis elegans
Lineage: Eukaryota; Metazoa; Nematoda; Chromadorea; Rhabditida; Rhabditidae
Source: Ensembl